GGCAAUAUCACGAUGUGCUGUUGAUUUAGUGAACACGACAGACACUGUGACAUUGCA
RNAcentral lists this microRNA precursor (57 nucleotides) under Ciona intestinalis (vase tunicate). RNAcentral describes it as "microRNA cin-mir-4035 precursor". Lineage: Eukaryota; Metazoa; Chordata; Ascidiacea; Phlebobranchia; Cionidae. The record is from miRBase by way of RNAcentral.